GCCGAAGUGGCGGAACUGGCAGACGCGCCAGAUUCAGGGUCUGGUGGGGAGUUUCCCCGUAGGGGUUCAAAUCCCCUCUUCGGCA
Molecule: transfer RNA, 85 nt
Filed under: Deltaproteobacteria bacterium
Lineage: Bacteria; Pseudomonadati; Myxococcota; Myxococcia
Description: tRNA-Leu
Rfam family: tRNA
About the family: Transfer RNA (tRNA) molecules are approximately 80 nucleotides in length. Their secondary structure includes four short double-helical elements and three loops (D, anti-codon, and T loops).
Source: RNAcentral